This 307-nucleotide long non-coding RNA is filed under the name Phoenix dactylifera (date palm). Its description in RNAcentral is "long non-coding RNA (PDAC_LNC018963)". The record is from RNAcentral. Lineage: Eukaryota; Viridiplantae; Streptophyta; Magnoliopsida; Arecales; Arecaceae.
UCGAGAGGCGUUGGAAGCCCCUUUGCUUCUUAGCUUUAUGGCAGCGAACUCGGGCCCUUCCUCUAGCGCCAACUGUUGCUGGAAAUUGGACCCGGGGGCCGCCGCGAAGCCAGGGGAAGGAGGGGCUCCGCCGUAGGGACAGUGGAUGACCGUGCGCCGGCUGGUGGCGUCCUCCUGGAGGGGUGCAAGUCCGCCGUAGGAGCGGUGGUCGAUGGCGUGCCGGCGGGUGGCGUCCUCCUGGGGGGCGUAAGUCCUGCAAGAAAACCGGUGGCCGGGCUCCCCGGCGCCGGCCCUCCGAUGCUUAAGU